AUGCAUAGCAGGAGGCCUAGUCUGGAAACAAAAUACAUUCAGUCUAAACUUUGCAACGAUCUUGAGUUUCUCCGAAGUGUCAUGACAGCAGUGACCCUGGGCGUUGAACUGAAAUUCCAACAAGCUUUAGCUGCUCGGGCGAGCCAUGGCAGUUGUGGUCCUGGGCACCACCAGCUGAACUUGAGUAUGGUUGACAAACGAGGCAGCAGCGGUUGCGCGACACAGGGGGAAAUCUCCAGCGCCAGUUCCCUUCAAGCCAUCCACCUAGCCAACCUAACAGCUUCCCAUGGCAUGCAGGCAAAACAACCUGCUAAAACCACUCUAAUCAUGCUUAGGGGGUCGUUUAAAUGGUAUUGA
This 357-nucleotide ribosomal RNA is filed under the name Triticum aestivum (bread wheat). Its description in RNAcentral is "partial small subunit ribosomal RNA". The record is from RNAcentral. Lineage: Eukaryota; Viridiplantae; Streptophyta; Magnoliopsida; Poales; Poaceae.